AACGAUGUACACUAGGUGUUGGGGUAAGACUCAGUGCCGGAGCAAACGCAAUAAGUGUACCGCCUGGGGAGUAUGCCCGCAAGGGUGAAACUCAAAGGAAUUGACGGGGGCUCACACAAGCGGUGGAGCAUGUGGUUUAAUUCGAUGAUACGCGAGGAACCUUACCUGGGUUUGACAUCAAGAGGAAUACUGUAGAGAUAUGGUAGCGUGCUUGCACGUCUCUUGACAGGUGCUGCAUGGCUGUCGUCAG
This 250-nucleotide ribosomal RNA is filed under the name uncultured bacterium. RNAcentral's name for it is "partial 16S ribosomal RNA". It matches the Rfam family "Bacterial small subunit ribosomal RNA", at positions 805 to 1058 of the family's 1533-position model. The record is from RNAcentral.